Non-coding RNA from Tephrocybe sp. NHM501043, 82 nucleotides. The record is from the annotation of a GenBank genome assembly. NCBI's taxonomy places the organism in Eukaryota, Fungi, Basidiomycota, Agaricomycetes, Agaricales, Lyophyllaceae.
GCCCCCGUUGUCUAAUGGUUAUGACGUCAGACUUCUACCCUUGUGUAUCUGGAGGUUGCGGGUUCGAGUCCCGCCGGGGGUU